UGGAGUUGAAAAAUCAGCCUUUCUUUCAUGGUUUAUAAUAGCAUUUCCACCGGUUAGCCUUUUACUAUGGCAAGGGAAGCUUUAGGGCAGCAACUAUUCACGUAAAUAAUGGCUGUCCUAGCCUCCUAGCAAAGUGUGUUUUCAGCAGUUUAGGCUUGCCAUAGCAAAUAAUAUUAAUUUUUUUGUUUUUUCACAACUUUGUUUACUUAAACAAUUAAUUCGGAUAAAAUUUUUGGGUUCCUACGCGUACAUACUAUUCAUAUCGAAUAAGAUUUUCGGUUUCAAAUUUCAGAUACAUUUCAAAAUUCAAAUUUUAGAUGGAUUUCGAAAUUCUAUCUGUCUAAAUUUUUCUAUAAAACCAGAGGCUCAGCUCAUACUUCCCACACCAGAUUUUCUCUACAUUUCCAUUUCUCAUAUUUUAGAUUUCAUUCUCCAUUUUCAAUGACAGACAUGCAAGAAGUUUUAGAGAGGCAAGAGCGAGAAAUGAGAGAAAAAAUGCGUCGACGAGCUGAAAGCAAAAGGGGGCAGAGAGAACUAGAUGAGCAACUUGGCAUGGCCAUUGCCUUGCUGGAGGAAGAAAACCAGAGCCGCCGUGGUUCAUGAGAAGGCUGCGCCCCGAAUGUGGAUAGACAUAGACAUUCUCGAGGUAAGAAUCUUCUAGAACCACAUUCUCUGUACUCUGAUGUUCAUUUUCGAGCGAGAUAUAGAAUGCAACCUCAUUUGUUCAAUAAAGUCAUGCAUGAUAGUUGUAAUUAUGAUGAAUACUUUGUUCAAAAGAAAAAUUGUGCUGGAAAUUUGAGGCUUCUUCCCGAGCAAAAGUUCACAGCUGUAAUACGAAUGUUGGCUUAUGAGUCAUCUACUGAUCAGGUGGAUGAGAUUGCCCAGAUGGAGAAGUCCACUAUUUUGGAGAGCUUGGUGCGAUUUUGUGAUGCAGUGAAAACUCUAUAUACCAGGGAUUAUGCAGACCUACGCUCAGGGACCUGCAACGGCUUCUAAAAAAAGCUGAGUCUCGUGGAUUUCCUGGAAUGAUUGGUAGCAUUGACUGCAUGCACUAGUAAUGAAAAAAUUGUCCAACUGCUUGGCAAGAGGAUUAUGGCAAUCGAAAAGGGCAGAAAAGCAUCAUCCUCGAAGCAGUUGCUGGUUUUGAUACAUGGGUUUGGCACGCCUUCUUUGGAGUUGCCGGCUCUCAAAACCAUUUGAACGUCCUGGGUCAAUCCCCGGUGUUCAAUGAUGUUUAGAGAGGUGAAGGCCCAAAUAUCACAUAUCAAAUCAAUAAUACCGUCUACCAGAAGGGGUAUUAUCUAGCUGAUGGUAUCUACCUGAGGUGGACAACAUUUGUGAAAUCAAUUCCACAUCCCCGAUCCCAUAAGGAAAUUUUUUUUGCUACCUAUCAAGAGGGGUACAUAAAGGAUGUGGAGAGGUGCUUUGGUAUCCUUCAAGCCCGGUGGGCUAUUAUCAGUGGUGCGGCGCGUCUAUUUGACGAGGAGGUGCUUAGGAGUAUAAUGAUGACUUGUAUCAUCCUCUACAACAUGAUUGUGGAAGAUGAGUAUGAUUACGAUGUUGAUGAAGUGUAUGAACCAAAUCCCAUGAACACGGCCUUAACACGAAUUUAUGAAAAACCCAUGGGGCCAAAUGGAAAACCAGUGCAGCAUGAUCCGUUGGUUAGAGACGGUAGUUUCUUGCCUCGUAUGAUUGAGCGCUACACGGAGAUGCAAUCGUCGUAUAUUCAUGAACAACGUCAAGUUGACUUGAUGGAGCAUUUGUGGGCGGUGAAAGGCAAUAAAGGUGAAUGAAGUGAAGUGAAGAUGUUUUUUUUAAUGUAUUAUGUUUAUGUUGUAUUUUUAGUUAUGCUUUAUUGUAUUUUUAUGCUUUAAUUGUGGUUUGAUUAUUUUUUAUGCUUUGGUUAUGGUUUGCUUUUAUGUAUGGAAUG
This 1930-nucleotide long non-coding RNA is filed under the name Prunus dulcis (almond). RNAcentral describes it as "sRNA ncRNA". The record is from RNAcentral. Lineage: Eukaryota; Viridiplantae; Streptophyta; Magnoliopsida; Rosales; Rosaceae.